UCAAGAAACUUCCACAAUGGGCGAAAGCCUAAUGGAGCGACGUCGCGUGAUGGACGAAGUGCUUCGGCACGUAAACAUCUUUUAUGUGGGAUGAAAUUAUUGACAGUACCACAUGAAUAAGGGGCUCCUAACUCUGUGCCAGCAGGAGCGGUAAUACAGAGGCCCCAAGCGUUAUCCGGAAUCACUGGGCGUAAAGGGUGUCGAGGCGGUUGUAUUAGUCGUUCGUAAAAUCUACGGGCUUAACUUGUAGGCGGCGAACGAAACGGUACGACUUGAGGUUUGGAGAGGUGCGUGGAACUCACGGUGUAGGGGUGAAAUCCGUUGAUAUCGUGGGGAACACCAAAGGCGAAGGCAGCGCACUGGCCAAAAUCUGACGCUCACACACGAAAGCUAGGGUAGCGAAGAGGAUUAGAUACCCUUGUAGUCCCUGAGCGGGCUGGCAAGGCGCAU
Molecule: ribosomal RNA, 450 nt
Filed under: uncultured bacterium
Lineage: Bacteria
Description: bacterial SSU rRNA
Rfam family: Bacterial small subunit ribosomal RNA
Source: RNAcentral